This 490-nucleotide ribosomal RNA is filed under the name uncultured bacterium. RNAcentral's name for it is "partial 16S ribosomal RNA". It matches the Rfam family "Bacterial small subunit ribosomal RNA", at positions 29 to 507 of the family's 1533-position model. The record is from RNAcentral.
AAUGAACGCUGGCGGCAUGCCUUACACAUGCAAGUCGAACGGCAGCAUGACCGCUCGUGCCUGGUUGAUAGCGAGUGACGGACGAGUGAUAAAUGCAACCGAACGUGCCUGUUAGUGGGAGAUAAGGUAGCGAAAGUUACACUAAUCCCGCGAAUUCCCGGAGAAGGAGAGGAGGCGUCCUUCCGGCCUUUCUCUGGAUGGCCGAUCGCUGUCGGAUUAGCUAGUUGGUGAGGUAAAGGCCCACCAAGGCAACGAUCCGUAGCGGGUCUGAGAGGAUGAUCCGCCACACUGGGACUGAGACACGGCCCAGACUCCUACGGGAGGCAGCAGUGGGGAAUUUUGGACAAUGGGCGAAAGCCUGAUCCAGCCAUGCCGCGUGAGUGAAGAAGGCCUUCGGGUUGUAAAGCUCUUUCGGCUGGGAAGAAAUCGCACCCUCUAAUACAGGGUGUGGAUGACGGUACCAGAAGAAGAAGCACCGGCUAACUACGUG